AGUGAACGCUGGCGGUAGGCCUAACACAUGCAAGUCGAACGGCAGCACAGUAAGAGCUUGCUCUUACGGGUGGCGAGUGGCGGACGGGUGAGGAAUACAUCGGAAUCUACUUUUUCGUGGGGGAUAACGUAGGGAAACUUACGCUAAUACCGCAUACGACCUACGGGUGAAAGCAGGGGAUCUUCGGACCUUGCGCGAUUGAAUGAGCCGAUGUCGGAUUAGCUAGUUGGCGGGGUAAAGGCCCACCAAGGCGACGAUCCGUAGCUGGUCUGAGAGGAUGAUCAGCCACACUGGAACUGAGACACGGUCCAGACUCCUACGGGAGGCAGCAGUGGGGAAUAUUGGACAAUGGGCGCAAGCCUGAUCCAGCCAUACCGCGUGGGUGAAGAAGGCCUUCGGGUUGUAAAGCCCUUUAGUUGGGAAAGAAAAGCAGCAGGUUAAUACCCCGCUGUUCUGACGGUACCCAAAGAAUAAGCACCGGCUAACUUCGUG
Molecule: ribosomal RNA, 492 nt
Filed under: uncultured bacterium
Lineage: Bacteria
Description: partial 16S ribosomal RNA
Rfam family: Bacterial small subunit ribosomal RNA
Source: RNAcentral